This 719-nucleotide ribosomal RNA is filed under the name Streptococcus constellatus. RNAcentral describes it as "bacterial SSU rRNA". It matches the Rfam family "Bacterial small subunit ribosomal RNA", at positions 73 to 780 of the family's 1533-position model. The record is from RNAcentral. Lineage: Bacteria; Bacillati; Bacillota; Bacilli; Lactobacillales; Streptococcaceae.
UUUACUACACCGUAUUCUGUGAGUUGCGAACGGGUGAGUAACGCGUAGGUAACCUGCCUGGUAGCGGGGGAUAACUAUUGGAAACGAUAGCUAAUACCGCAUAAGAACAUUUACUGCAUGGUAGAUGUUUAAAAGGUGCAAGAGCAUCACUACCAGAUGGACCUGCGUUGUAUUAGCUAGUUGGUGAGGUAACGGCUCACCAAGGCAACGAUACAUAGCCGACCUGAGAGGGUGAUCGGCCACACUGGGACUGAGACACGGCCCAGACUCCUACGGGAGGCAGCAGUAGGGAAUCUUCGGCAAUGGGGGGAACCCUGACCGAGCAACGCCGCGUGAGUGAAGAAGGUUUUCGGAUCGUAAAGCUCUGUUGUUAAGGAAGAACGUGUGUGAGAGUGGAAAGUUCACACAGUGACGGUACUUAACCAGAAAGGGACGGCUAACUACGUGCCAGCAGCCGCGGUAAUACGUAGGUCCCGAGCGUUGUCCGGAUUUAUUGGGCGUAAAGCGAGCGCAGGCGGUUAGAUAAGUCUGAAGUGAAAGGCAGUGGCUCAACCAUUGUAGGCUUUGGAAACUGUUUAACUUGAGUGCAGAAGGGGAGAGUGGAAUUCCAUGUGUAGCGGUGAAAUGCGUAGAUAUAUGGAGGAACACCGGUGGCGAAAGCGGCUCUCUGGUCUGUAACUGACGCUGAGGCUCGAAAGCGUGGGGAGCGAACAGGAUUA